Molecule: small nucleolar RNA, 132 nt
Organism: Echinops telfairi (small Madagascar hedgehog)
Lineage: Eukaryota; Metazoa; Chordata; Mammalia; Afrosoricida; Tenrecidae
Source: Ensembl
GGCUGCCUCAGACACUCUGCUGCCUGCCUGUGGCACUGGGGAUUAAGCUGCCACACCAGAGCAAAUGCUCGGGCAUAAACUGGGGCUGUCAAGCACCUGUGAGUAGCUCUUUCAACCACGACAGCAGUAAAA